RNAcentral lists this ribosomal RNA (460 nucleotides) under uncultured bacterium. Its description in RNAcentral is "partial 16S ribosomal RNA". It matches the Rfam family "Bacterial small subunit ribosomal RNA", at positions 338 to 795 of the family's 1533-position model. The record is from RNAcentral.
CCUACGGGAGGCAGCAGUGAGGAAUAUUGGUCAAUGGGCUUACGCCUGAACCAGCCAAGUCGCGUGAGGGAAGACUGCCCUACGGGUUGUAAACCUCUUUUGUCAGGGAGCAAUUGGCACUACGUGUAGCGUUAUCUAGAGUACCUGAAGAAAAAGCAUCGGCGACCUCCUUGCCAGCAGCCGCGGUAAUACGGGGGAUGCGAGCGUUAUCCGGAUUUAUUGGGUUUAAAGGGUGCGUAGGCGGAAUGCCAAGUCAGCGGUAAAAUGGCGGGGCUCAACCUCGCUCCGCCGUUGAAACUGGCGUUCUUGAGUGGGCGAGAAGAAUGCGGAAUGCGUGGUGUAGCGGUGAAAUGCAUAGAUAUCACGCAGAACUCCGAUUGCGAAGGCAGCAUACCGGCGCCCAACUGACGCUGAGGCACGAAAGCGUGGGUAUCGAACAGGAUUAGAUACCCUUGUAGUC